RNAcentral lists this ribosomal RNA (1644 nucleotides) under Timea sp. G303973. Its description in RNAcentral is "eukaryotic LSU rRNA". It matches the Rfam family "Eukaryotic large subunit ribosomal RNA", at positions 402 to 1822 of the family's 3401-position model. Lineage: Eukaryota; Metazoa; Porifera; Demospongiae; Tethyida; Timeidae. The record is from RNAcentral.
AAACCGUUAGGAGGGAAGCGAAUGCAGCUAAAGUAGCUCUCUUUCAGGCUCAGGAGGCGUUGCCACGACCUUCCGGCUGGCGGAAGCUGUUUAGGCGCCGGCAGUUAGACGGUCGAGUGACCACUUCGCAUUCCUGGGGAGAGCUUGCCAACAACGGUUACGCCUGGCUCAUGAGGGCAGGUGGGCAAGGUAGCUCUUCGAUUUCGGGGAGAACUUACAGCCAUCUGUCUGGCAGUCUGGGCUUGACCGAGGUGACGUGUGAACUCUCACACAGGCAGUGCAGGCCCCUCGGGGCCGGGUCGCCUCUGCUCGUUUGGGCACCGCGCUGUUGACUGCAUGCAGUGUUCAGUGACGGACUGUCUGCUCGGGCGGGGGAUCGGCCACGCCAUGCACUGUGGUUGUUGGUACCCAAAUGGCUGCAUCCGACCCGUCUUGAAACACGGACCAAGGAGUGCAACAUGCGUGCGAGUCUUUGGGUGGCAAACCCGAUGGCGCAAUGAAGGUGAAGGUGGGCAUUUGGUCCGCUUAGGCAAGAGCCUCCCUCGCGGGGGCACACUGUCGACCGAUCCCAGGCUACGCUGUGGCGGGAUUUGAGUAAGAGCGUGCCUGUUGCGACCCGAAAGAUGGUGAACUAUGCCUGAAUAGGGUGAAGCCAGAGGAAACUCUGGUGGAAGCUCGUAGCGAUUCUGACGUGCAAAUCGAUCGUCAAAUUUGGGUAUAGGGGCGAAAGACUAAUCGAACCAUCUAGUAGCUGGUUCCCUCCGAAGUUUCCCUUAGGAUAGCUGGAGCCCGGUGCAGUUUUAUCAGGUAAAGCGAAUGAUUAGAGGUCUUGGGGUUGAAACAACCUCAACCUAUUCUCAAACUUUAAAUGGGUAAGAAGCUCGGCUUGCUUAAUUGAAGUCGGGCAUUGAAUGCCGGGGCUCUUAGUGGGCCAUUUUUGGUAAGCAGAACUGGCGAUGUGGGAUGAACCAAAUGCCGGGUUAAGGUGCCCGAAUCGACGCCCAUCAGAUACCAUGAAAGGUGUUGGUUGAUCUAGACAGCAGGACGGUGGCCAUGGAAGUCGGAAUCCGCUAAGGAGUGUGUAACAACUCACCUUGCCGAAUCAACUAGCCCUGAAAAUGGAUGGCGCUGAAGCGUCGUACCCAUACCUGGCCGUCAGGUUGAGCGGCAGGACCUGACGUGUAGGAGGGCGCGGUGGUGGCCGUGCAGCCUUUGGCGUGAGCCUGGGUGAAGCCGCCACCGGUGCAGAUCUUGGUGGUAGUAGCAAAUAUUCAAACGAGAGCUUUGAAGACUGAAGUGGAGAAGGGUUCCAUGUGAACAGCAGUUGGACAUGGGUUAGUCGAUCCUAAGAGAAGGGAGAGGUCCUUCUAGAAGGCGCAAUCGCUCCGGCGACCGCGCCGUUCCUCGAAAGGGAAUCGGGUUAACAUUCCCGAACCGGGAUGCGGAUAGGCCUCUGGCCAUUAGCGGCAACGCAAGCGAACUCGGAGACGUCGGCAGGAGCCCCGGGAAGAGUUCUCUUUUCUUCUUAACGGACUGGCACCCUGGAAUCAGAUUGCCUGGAGAUAGGGUUGAAUGUCCGGUAAAGCACCACACUUGUGGUGGUGUCCGGUGCGCUCUUGACGACCCGUGAAAAUCCGAGGGAGU